CUCAGUACCAGUUCUGCUUCCCAGGAGCUGAGAUGCUGGCCCCGACCUUCCCCUGUGAAAAUGACUCUCUAAAAUCAACACUCUCUGCCUGGCACCUGCUUACAUCACCUUACUCGGUGACAUCCUCAUCUCAGGCUCUGAUCCCAGAUCAUGCACAGAUGAAUGUAUAAAAAUGGCUGCAAGUGUCAGAAGAAUGACAUCUGAAAUACAAGCAGAUGAUGGUGUGAUCGAGGUAUAAAUGAAGA
Molecule: long non-coding RNA, 245 nt
Filed under: Homo sapiens (human)
Lineage: Eukaryota; Metazoa; Chordata; Mammalia; Primates; Hominidae
Description: HSALNT0049566
Source: RNAcentral